RNAcentral lists this ribosomal RNA (910 nucleotides) under uncultured bacterium. RNAcentral describes it as "bacterial SSU rRNA". It matches the Rfam family "Bacterial small subunit ribosomal RNA", at positions 52 to 975 of the family's 1533-position model. The record is from RNAcentral.
CACAUGCAAGUCGAACGAGCGAGAGAGAGCUUGCUUUCUCGAGCGAGUGGCGAACGGGUGAGUAACGCGUGAGGAACCUGCCUCAAAGAGGGGGACAACAGUUGGAAACGACUGCUAAUACCGCAUAAGCCCACGACCCGGCAUCGGGUAGAGGGAAAAGGAGCAAUCCGCUUUGAGAUGGCCUCGCGUCCGAUUAGCUAGUUGGUGAGGUAAUGGCCCACCAAGGCGACGAUCGGUAGCCGGACUGAGAGGUUGAACGGCCACAUUGGGACUGAGACACGGCCCAGACUCCUACGGGAGGCAGCAGUGGGGAAUAUUGCACAAUGGGGGAAACCCUGAUGCAGCGACGCCGCGUGGAGGAAGAAGGUCUUCGGAUUGUAAACUCCUGUUGUUGAGGAAGAUAAUGACGGUACUCAACAAGGAAGUGACGGCUAACUACGUGCCAGCAGCCGCGGUAAAACGUAGGUCACAAGCGUUGUCCGGAAUUACUGGGUGUAAAGGGAGCGCAGGCGGGAAGACAAGUUGGAAGUGAAAUCCAUGGGCUCAACCCAUGAACUGCUUUCAAAACUGUUUUUCUUGAGUAGUGCAGAGGUAGGCGGAAUUCCCGGUGUAGCGGUGGAAUGCGUAGAUAUCGGGAGGAACACCAGUGGCGAAGGCGGCCUACUGGGCACCAACUGACGCUGAGGCUCGAAAGUGUGGGUAGCAAACAGGAUUAGAUACCCUGGUAGUCCACACUGUAAACGAUGAUUACUAGGUGUUGGAGGAUUGACCCCUUCAGUGCCGCAGUUAACACAAUAAGUAAUCCACCUGGGGAGUACGACCGCAAGGUUGAAACUCAAAGGAAUUGACGGGGGCCCGCACAAGCAGUGGAGUAUGUGGUUUAAUUCGACGCAACGCGAAGAACCUUACC